UGGCGGCGUGCCUAAUACAUGGAAGUCGAACGGAAACCUUCGGGUUUUAGUGGCGAACGGGUGAGUAACACGUAAGCAACCUACCCUAAAGACGAGGAUAACCAUUGGAAACAGUGGCUAAGACUGGAUAGGAAGAAAUAAGGCAUCUUUUUUCUUUUAAAAGACCUAGUGAUAGGUAUACUUUAGGAGGGGCUUGCGCCAUAUUAGUUAGUUGGUAGGGUAAUGGCCUACCAAGACGAUGAUGUGUAGCUGGACUGAGAGGUUGAACAGCCACAUUGGGACUGAGACACGGCCCAAACUCCUACGGGAGGCAGCAGUAGGAAUUUUCGGCAAUGGAGGAAACUCUGACCGAGCAACGCCGCGUGAACGACGAAGUACUUUGGUAUGUAAAGUUCUUUUAUCAAGGAAGAAAAGCAAGUGGUGAACCAUUUGUUUGCCGGUACUUGAUGAAUAAGCCCCGGCUAAUUAUGUGCCAGCAGCCGCGGUAAGACAUAAGGGGCAAGUGUUAUCCGGAAUUAUUGGGCGUAAAGGGUGCGUAGGCGGUCUAGUAAGUCAGUGGUGUAAUGGCAACGCUCAACGUUGUCCGGCUAUUGAAACUGCUAAACUUGAGUUAGAUAGAGGCGAGUGGAAUUCCAUGUGUAGCGGUAAAAUGCGUAAAUAUAUGGAGGAACACCAGAGGCGUAGGCGGCUCGCUGGGUCUUAACUGACGCUGAGGCACGAAAGCGUGGGGAGCAAACAGGAUUAGAUACCCUGGUAGUCCACGCCGUAAACGAUGAGUACUAAGUGUCGGGUUAAACCGGUACUGAAGUUAACACAUUAAGUACUCCGCCUGAGUAGUACGUACGCAAGUAUGAAACUUAAAGGAAUUGACGGGACUCCGCACAAGCGGUGGAUCAUGUUGUUUAAUUCGAAGAUACCCGAAAAACCUUACCAGGUCUUGACAUGUUUUUGCAAAACGCUAGUAAUAUCGUGGAGGUUAUCAGAAACACAGGUGGUGCAUGGUUGUCGUCAGCUCGUGUCGUGAGAUGUUAGGUUAAGUCCUAAAACGAGCGAAACCCUUAUCGUUAGUUGCCAGCACGUUAUGGUGGGGACUUUAACGAGACUGCCAAUGAUAAAUUGGAGGAAGGUGAGGAUCACGUCAAAUCAGCAUGCCCCUUAUGACCUGGGCUACAAACGUGAUACAAUGGCUGUUACAAAGGGUAGCUGAAACGCAAGUUCUUGCCCAAUCCCCAAAAACAGUCUCAGUCCGGAUUGAAGUCUGCAACUCGACUUCAUGAAGUUGGAAUCGCUAGUAAUCGCGAAUCAGCAUGUCGCGGUGAAUACGUUCUCGGGGUUUGUACACACCGCCCGUCAAACCACGAAAGUUGGCAAUACCCCAAAACGGUAGCCUAACUCGUUUAUUCGAGAGGGCGCUGUCUAAGGUAGGGUCGAUGAUUGGGGUUAAGUCGUAACAAGGUAUCCCUACCGGAAGGUGGGGAUGGAUCACCUCCUUUCUAAGGAAACCAAUAAAAUCAAUCAUCUUCAGUUUUGAAAGACUUAGGAUAACUAGUUUUUCUUCCUGACUUCACGAAGGGCCUAUAGCUCAGUUGGUUAGAGCACACGCCUGAUAAGCGUGAGGUCGGUGGUUCAAGUCCAUUUAGGCCCACCAGAGUUAUAGGUGUCGUAAGAACACAAAUUCUUUGAAAAUUAGGUAAAUAAUAGUUAUUUUUCCGGAACAUUAAAGGAAAUAAGAGCGCACAGUGGAUGCCUAGGCACCAAGAGCCG
This 1764-nucleotide ribosomal RNA is filed under the name Candidatus Phytoplasma citri. Its description in RNAcentral is "bacterial SSU rRNA". The stretch from base 1 to 1493 matches the Rfam family "Bacterial small subunit ribosomal RNA". The record is from RNAcentral. Lineage: Bacteria; Bacillati; Mycoplasmatota; Mollicutes; Acholeplasmatales; Acholeplasmataceae.